CGUGCCAGCAGCCGCGGUAAUACAGAGGGUGCAAGCGUUGUUCGGAAUUACUGGGCGUAAAGCGUGCGUAGUCGGUAUUGAGAGUCGCGGGUGAAAUCCCAGGGCUUAACCCUGGAACUGCCUGCGAGACCUCAGUACUAGAGUGUGAGAGGGGAUAGUGGAAUACCCAGUGUAGCGGUGAAAUGCGUAGAGAUUGGGUGGAACACCGGUGGCGAAGGCGGCUAUCUGGCUCACAACUGACGAUCAGGCACGAAAGCGUGGGGAGCAAACAGGAUUAGAUACCCUGGUAGUCCACGCCGUAAACGAUG
RNAcentral lists this ribosomal RNA (308 nucleotides) under uncultured bacterium. Its description in RNAcentral is "bacterial SSU rRNA". It matches the Rfam family "Bacterial small subunit ribosomal RNA", at positions 504 to 811 of the family's 1533-position model. The record is from RNAcentral.